AGUGAACGCUGGCGGUAGGCCUAACACAUGCAAGUCGAACGGCAGCACAGUAAGAGCUUGCUCUUACGGGUGGCGAGUGGCGGACGGGUGAGGAAUACAUCGUAAUCUACUUUUUCGUGGGGGAUAACGUAGGGAAACUUACGCUAAUACCGCAUACGACCUACGGGUGAAAGCAGGGGAUCUUCGGACCUUGCGCGAUUGAAUGAGCCGAUGUCGGAUUAGCUAGUUGGCGGGGUAAAGGCCCACCAAGGCGACGAUCCGUAGCUGGUCUGAGAGGAUGAUCAGCCACACUGGAACUGAGACACGGUCCAGACUCCUACGGGAGGCAGCAGUGGGGAAUAUUGGACAAUGGGCGCAAGCCUGAUCCAGCCAUACCGCGUGGGUGAAGAAGGCCUUCGGGUUGUAAAGCCCUUUUGUUGGGAAAGAAAAGCAGCAGGUUAAUACCCCGCUGUUCUGACGGUACCCAAAGAAUAAGCACCGGCUAACUUCGUG
This 492-nucleotide ribosomal RNA is filed under the name uncultured bacterium. RNAcentral's name for it is "partial 16S ribosomal RNA". It matches the Rfam family "Bacterial small subunit ribosomal RNA", at positions 29 to 507 of the family's 1533-position model. The record is from RNAcentral.